AUUGAACGCUGGCGGCAGGCCUAACACAUGCAAGUCGAACGGUAGCACAGAGAGCUUGCUCUCGGGUGACGAGUGGCGGACGGGUGAGUAACGUCUGGGAAACUGCCCGAUGGAGGGGGAUAACUACUGGAAACGGUAGCUAAUACCGCAUAACGUCGCAAGACCAAAGUGGGGGACCUUCGGGCCUCACACCAUCGGAUGUGCCCAGAUGGGAUUAGCUAGUAGGUGGGGUAAUGGCUCACCUAGGCGACGAUCCCUAGCUGGUCUGAGAGGAUGACCAGCCACACUGGAACUGAGACACGGUCCAGACUCCUACGGGAGGCAGCAGUGGGGAAUAUUGCACAAUGGGCGCAAGCCUGAUGCAGCCGUGCCGCGUGUAUGAAGAAGGCCUUCGGGUUGUAAAGUACUUUCAGCGGGGAGGAAGGCGGUGAAGUUAAUAGCUUCACCGAUUGACGUUACCCGCAGAAGAAGCACCGGCUAACUCCGUGCCAGCCGCCGCGGAA
Molecule: ribosomal RNA, 503 nt
Filed under: uncultured bacterium
Lineage: Bacteria
Description: partial 16S ribosomal RNA
Rfam family: Bacterial small subunit ribosomal RNA
Source: RNAcentral